AUACUUACCUGGCAAGGGAGAUACCAUGAUCACGAAGGUGGUUUUCCCAGGGCGAGGCUUCUCCAUUGCACUCCAGAUGUGCUGACCCCUGCGAUUUCCCCAAAUGUGGGAAACUCGACUGCGUAAUUUGUGGUAGUGGGGGACUGUGUUCACACUCUCCCCUG
RNAcentral lists this small nuclear RNA (164 nucleotides) under Echinops telfairi (small Madagascar hedgehog). Its description in RNAcentral is "U1 spliceosomal RNA (ENSETEG00000020412.1)". It matches the Rfam family "U1 spliceosomal RNA". Rfam says of the family: U1 is a small nuclear RNA (snRNA) component of the spliceosome (involved in pre-mRNA splicing). Its 5' end forms complementary base pairs with the 5' splice junction, thus defining the 5' donor site of an intron. Lineage: Eukaryota; Metazoa; Chordata; Mammalia; Afrosoricida; Tenrecidae. The record is from RNAcentral.